Molecule: ribosomal RNA, 500 nt
Filed under: uncultured bacterium
Lineage: Bacteria
Description: bacterial SSU rRNA
Rfam family: Bacterial small subunit ribosomal RNA
Source: RNAcentral
UCAGGAUGAACGCUGGCGGCGUGCCUAACACAUGCAAGUCGAACGGUGGUGACUGAAAUUUCGGAUGGAUAUCACCAUAGUGGCGGACGGGUGAGUAACGCGUGGAUAACCUGCCUCGUACUGGGGAAUAGGCAGCUGGAAACGGCUGGUAAUACCGCAUAAGCGCACGAUGCCGCAUGGCAUUGUGUGAAAAGAUUUAUCGGUACGAGAUGGAUCCGCGUCUGAUUAGCCAGUUGGCGGGGUAACGGCCCACCAAAGCGACGAUCAGUAGCCGGCCUGAGAGGGUGAACGGCCACAUUGGGACUGAGACACGGCCCAGACUCCUACGGGAGGCAGCAGUGGGGAAUAUUGCACAAUGGGCGAAAGCCUGAUGCAGCGACGCCGCCGUGAGUGAAGAAGUAUUUCGGUAUGUAAAGCUCUAUCAGCAGGGAAGAAAGGCCCGAAAGGGAGAUGACGGUACCUGACUAAGAAGCCCCGGCUAACUACGUGCCAGCCGCAGC